RNAcentral lists this ribosomal RNA (315 nucleotides) under Triticum aestivum (bread wheat). RNAcentral describes it as "partial small subunit ribosomal RNA". The record is from RNAcentral. Lineage: Eukaryota; Viridiplantae; Streptophyta; Magnoliopsida; Poales; Poaceae.
AUGAGCUGGAAAUCACAUAAGCAGAAGGUCGUCGCCACCUCUUCGUGCGAAGCCGAGUACAUUGCAGCGGCGACAGCGGCGUGCCAAGGGAUAUGGUUGGCUUGUCUUCUCGGCGAGCUACUAAAACGAGAUGCUACCCCUGCGAUCCUCUACGUUGACAACAAGUCCGCCAUCUCGCUGUGCAAAAAUCCGGUACUUCACGACCACAGCAAGCACAUUGAUCUCGGCUACCACUUCAUACGGGACUGUGUGUCAAGAAGGGCAUGGUGGUUGUGGAGUUCGUCGGAACCAGUGAGCAAAAGGCAGACAUUCUGA